CCGAGGAAAGAAUCUGGCUGUCCGGGCGGCCUGCCCAGCGAGUGCCUCCCUCCGACGGCACGGCCGGCCCCGCCCGCUCCCUGCCUGGUUCGCUUCCUCUCCGUUUCUUCCCCCUUUUCCUUUUCCCUCCCUUUCAUCUCUCCAGGCUCCCAGCUGAACCCUGCACCGCUCAGCUCCAGCCCACGGCCAGCACCCCCCGAGCAGCCAGCGCGAGUGUCCGUGGGGCUGGGACCCCAGAGAGACAGCCACCCCGAACGAGCCCCUCAAGGCCCCGGUCCAGGACCUGCGCCUUGACAAAGGCAGACACGCUUCCCUGGGAUCCCAGGCUCACAGCGAAGCCUCCUGCCCUGUCCCCUUCCCUGGGACUGGGGCACUGCCUCUCAUCGCCCAGGCACCAGCCCCAGGCCUUCACUCCAUCCCCUGCCCAGGGGCGGGGGGGGGGGGGGUUCCUCCCGCAGCAGCUGCUCCCAUACCCUUCUGCUGGCUGACUCUUUUCCAACCAAUCAGCUGGCUUCACCUGGCCCGUGGCUUAGCUCAAACACACUAGAUCCCUUUCUUCCCUCUGCUCUGCUCAAGUUCUUCUCUCUACAUAGAAGACCUCCCCCUUUCCCGACCCCAAGCAAUCCAGCGAGCUCCUAUAUACUCGUCAAAGCCCAUUUCAAAUGAUCCUACACUUGGGGUCAUGUAACUCCCCUCAGUCAGGGUCUGCAGGAAAUGCCUGGCCGCAGCCCAGGGCAGGCCCAGCCGGCAGACGGACGGGCUUUUCCCGUGGCCCACGGCUCCCCGAACAGAGAGGAAGGCGGCCGUCCGGCAGGGCGGCCAGGCCCAGGAAGGGCUGAGACGGACGGCACUCCCCAGGGAAGCAUCCAGGACCUGGGUCAGCGGGAGGCGGGCGCCCACUCACCCCUCGUGCAGUCACCACCCAGCGCAGACACAGCGUCCUGUAGGCGAGGCCGACCCUCCCGCCCGCGUCCACGGCCACCGUGCGCCGGACUCCCCGAAGGAACAGCGUCUCCCUCCCAGUCACUCACGGGUGCUCACGCCUUAAAAACAACACAGACUUUCACCCGGAACCUUCUGGACGCUGGAUGCCGAGAACGUAAGGGCUCGUCCCCGCCAGCCCGCCCUCCCAGUGCCCCUGAGAACAGAAGGGCCGUCGGGGACAGCCUGCCACCCCUCUACCCCGACAGGCAGGGCUGGGCGCCCCUACCGACCCACUGCACAGCGCAGCCACACCGGUGGUGACGUGAGACCAUGACACGCGGCAGGGGUGGGGGGCAGCAACCAUGGGGCGGGGGGCCCAAUCCCUGGGAACCCCACCCCUUCCCCAAGGAGCGGGAGUAACCCUCCCGCCUGUUAGCAUAUGACGUUACAGGGGCACCUCGGGGCUCAUCUCAGUUUUCUGGACGACCCCGUGCUCCGGGGCCACCUCCGGCCCCUCCAGACGGCCUGCACUCUGUGGGCUGCGUCCCUCUGAAUAAAUCUACCCUCACUCCACUGCUCUUGAAUUCUUUCCUGCACGGAGCCAGGGACCCUCACACGAUGGGGUGUGUCCCAGGGGCACGUGGCCGUGCCCCACCGCAUGUUCCCACAACCCCAGCCCCAAGUAAACCUCUCCC
Molecule: non-coding RNA, 1619 nt
Organism: Vicugna pacos (alpaca)
Lineage: Eukaryota; Metazoa; Chordata; Mammalia; Artiodactyla; Camelidae
Source: RefSeq, a predicted model, not a curated record